Molecule: long non-coding RNA, 655 nt
Organism: Sander lucioperca (pikeperch)
Lineage: Eukaryota; Metazoa; Chordata; Actinopteri; Perciformes; Percidae
Exons: 2
Source: RefSeq, a predicted model, not a curated record
GACGCUUUGACCACCUGGAAUGGAGUGUUGGCGGAUGACCUCACGGCAGCUCUCAGAGAGGAAGCCAUGUGAAAUCCAUUGACGGCAGAAAAAGGCUGGCCUGGCACACUUUCCUGAAACUAAGAACACUGUAUUACCAAAGAACAUGUCAGCAGUUGGAAAGUUUAAGGUUGGUCUCCCUCUAGUUCUCACUGUGGAUGACAUCAGACAGCAUCAUCAUGUGCCAAAUUCACACCUGUAGGACACGGUAUGCUUCACUUUUGUGUCGCUCUUAUUGAUUCGGCGACCUCCAUAGAAUCCAGGGCCUGACCUUAGUGGAACCUGAGGAAUGAGGAGCUGGUUGGCAGGUGAGGAGAUGAACAGGAGUGGACGCAUGAAUCCUGAAUACGAGGCGGCACUCCGUCCUCUCUGGCAUCGAGGCCAACCCCUCAAACAGGAAUGUGCAACCAUAUCACACCCUGCAAGGAAAGAGCAACCUGAGACGUUCUCCAUAUAGACCACCGUAAUCAAGGAUGUAUUUAUCUUUGCUGCAAAGGAUGAGGUGAGAUCUGAUCCAGGAGUAACGUUUUUAUUUAACCAGGAACAAAUCUACGUAUAUACAGUAGCAGUAUGCAGAUAAAAUGGGGAGAAAAAAUAAGUGUAGAUAACAUGACAA